AAGUCGUAACAAGGUCUCCGUAGGUGAACCUGCGGAGGGAUCAUUACAGAGUCUCAUGCCCAUACGGGUAGAUCUCCCACCCUAUGUUAUCAUUACCAUGUUGCUUUGGCGGGUGCCGGUCAGGCUCAGCGCUCGGGCUACCGGCUCCCGGGCCGUGGUAAGCGCCCGCCAGAGGACCCAUCCAAACCCAUUGAAUAUUCGUGUCGUCUGAGUACCAUAUAAUAGUUAAAA
RNAcentral lists this unclassified non-coding RNA (231 nucleotides) under plant metagenome. Its description in RNAcentral is "partial contains small subunit ribosomal RNA and internal transcribed spacer 1". The stretch from base 1 to 46 matches the Rfam family "Eukaryotic small subunit ribosomal RNA", at positions 1786 to 1831 of the family's 1831-position model. The record is from RNAcentral.